This 73-nucleotide transfer RNA is filed under the name Planctomycetes bacterium SM23_25. RNAcentral's name for it is "tRNA-Asn". It matches the Rfam family "tRNA". From Rfam's summary of the family: Transfer RNA (tRNA) molecules are approximately 80 nucleotides in length. Their secondary structure includes four short double-helical elements and three loops (D, anti-codon, and T loops). Further hydrogen bonds mediate the characteristic L-shaped molecular structure. tRNAs have two regions of fundamental functional importance: the anti-codon, which is responsible for specific mRNA codon recognition, and the 3' end, to which the tRNAs corresponding amino acid is attached (by aminoacyl-tRNA synthetases). tRNAs cope with the degeneracy of the genetic code in two manners: having more than one tRNA (with a specific anti-codon) for a particular amino acid; and 'wobble' base-pairing, i.e. permitting non-standard base-pairing at the 3rd anti-codon position. The record is from RNAcentral. Lineage: Bacteria; Pseudomonadati; Planctomycetota. RNAcentral also lists the same sequence under 6 other names.
UCCCCGAUAGCUCAAUUGGUAGAGCGAGCGGCUGUUAACCGCUAGGUUGCUGGUUCGAGUCCAGCUCGGGGAG